CAUCUCCUCACUCAGAAUCAAAUCAGAAAAGCUUUAUUGCUAAGUAAAUUCUUUUACACAUAGAAGGAAUUUGUUUUGGUGUCGUUGGUGCAUGUCACACAUUCUCUAAAUAGAAUAUAAACAAACAGUUUAGCAGAACAG
Long non-coding RNA from Etheostoma spectabile (orangethroat darter), 141 nucleotides. RefSeq lists it as uncharacterized. The record is from RefSeq and is a predicted model, not a curated record. NCBI's taxonomy places the organism in Eukaryota, Metazoa, Chordata, Actinopteri, Perciformes, Percidae. The transcript is spliced from 3 exons.